CGAGGUGACGCGUAGCGGGGGUGGAAAAAGUAGCGUAAGAUGCUCUGGGCGUCGGAGCAGAGAAGGAGGAGGGUGGGCUGGGCUAGAGGAGGAUCCAAAGCGAGAGGUGGUGGCGCCUUGCUUGGCCUUUACCGCCGCGCCGUGGAGUCUAGGCCGCAGGGCGAGGAGGUUCGGGCGGAGCGCCGGUGGCUUAGGCGCCGGCAGCGAGUCCAAGGUUUUCGAGACAUACCACCGUGGCCGUUGAUACGAUCACGCAACAAGGAACGUCGUCGGUUGCGUUUAAGCAACCUUUUUCAACUUAGACUCUAAGAGCUACAACAUCCCCGUAGGUUCUUCUCGGGAUACAAAAGAGUUAAGUACUUCCUGUGUAGUCACGGAUUUCUUUGGUCCCACUUCCGAUAUUGACUUUAUAAGAGACUUCGGCCCAAAUGACUGUAGUGUUUCUUUAAGAACAGACGUAACCGUAGGUUACCUUCUGACUUUAUACAACUUGCGUAACGACUCUCUAAACAACUAAACUGGUACCGUGUAUCCCCCCUCCACUUUCAACAACAGUCCUGACAACAAGGUGAAGGACUCUUCCUCCUCUUUCUUGAAUUCCUCUGGAACGCACUAUAGGAACCCUUUCUGUUUUGGUAGAACCAACUUGUUUUCUAACUGGUCCCAUAGUACCCUCCUGACCACUAACUUAAACCCGUCUUCCACAAACUGUACAGCUAGUCCUGAUCCCGCUUCGUUUACCUCCGUAAGAACUCCGUUGGGAAACUGUAGAUUGACGGAAAACCUAGGUUUAGUUGUGGUCUCACGUCACCAACGCGGCGACUUCCAAGGGAGUACGGACGAAGAAGCUACACCAGAACUUUAUUUUCGAAAGGAAAUGUUCUCUUGUAGUGAGACAAAAUAAAACAGAACACCCAAUCCUUCUUCGGACGACUUGUUAGAAAUUAAAGGAAAGAUGGUUUUUGUACCUAUUUUUGUACUUCUCUCCAGUACCUUUCAAAAAUUAAGUUCACAAACAUUAAAAACAAACUUCACGAGAGAAAAUGAGCAUAAGUC
This 1056-nucleotide ribosomal RNA is filed under the name Triticum aestivum (bread wheat). RNAcentral's name for it is "partial small subunit ribosomal RNA". Lineage: Eukaryota; Viridiplantae; Streptophyta; Magnoliopsida; Poales; Poaceae. The record is from RNAcentral.